AUCUACCUAGUAGUACGGAAUAAUUGUUGGAAACGGCAACUAAUACCGUAYMCKCYCUACGGGGGAAAAAUUUAUUGCUAUUAGAUGAGCCUAUMUUAGAUUAGCUAGUUGGUGGAGUAAUAGCCUACCAAGGCAAUGAUCUAUAGCUGAUCUGAGAGGAUGAUCAGCCACMCUSGAACUGAGAUACGGUCCAGACUCCUACGGGAGGCAGCAGUGGGGAAUAUUGGACAAUGGGCGAAAGCCUGAUCCAGCCAUGCCGCAUGAGUGAAGAASGCCUUUGGGUUGUAAAGCUCUUUUAGUGAGGAASAUAAUGACG
Molecule: ribosomal RNA, 316 nt
Filed under: Wolbachia endosymbiont of Aedes albopictus
Lineage: Bacteria; Pseudomonadati; Pseudomonadota; Alphaproteobacteria; Rickettsiales; Anaplasmataceae
Description: partial 16S ribosomal RNA
Rfam family: Bacterial small subunit ribosomal RNA
Source: RNAcentral